AGCGAACGCUGGCGGCAGGCCUAACACAUGCAAGUCGAACGAAGCCUUCGGGCUUAGUGGCGGACGGGUGAGUAACACGUGGGAACGUACCUUUUGGUUCGGAAUAACGCAGAGAAAUUUGCGCUAAUACCGAAUGAGCCCUUCGGGGGAAAGAUUUUUCGCCGAAAGAUCGGCCCGCGUUGGAUUAGGUAGUUGGUGUGGUAAGGCGCACCAAGCCUACGAUCCAUAGCUGGUCUGAGAGGAUGAUCAGCCACACUGGGACUGAGACACGGCCCAGACUCCUACGGGAGGCAGCAGUGGGGAAUCUUGCGCAAUGGGCGAAAGCCUGACGCAGCCAUGCCGCGUGAAUGAUGAAGGUCUUAGGAUUGUAAAAUUCUUUUACCAGGGACGAUAAUGACGGUACCUGGAGAAAAAGCCCCGGCUAACUUCGUGCCAGCCGCCGCUGUAA
Molecule: ribosomal RNA, 448 nt
Filed under: uncultured bacterium
Lineage: Bacteria
Description: partial 16S ribosomal RNA
Rfam family: Bacterial small subunit ribosomal RNA
Source: RNAcentral